This 240-nucleotide unclassified non-coding RNA is filed under the name soil metagenome. RNAcentral's name for it is "partial contains 5.8S ribosomal RNA, internal transcribed spacer 2, and large subunit ribosomal RNA". The record is from RNAcentral.
AACGCACGAGACCUGCGGACCUGCGGAAGGAUCAUUACAGAGUUAUCAUAAACUCCCAAAACCCUUUGUGAACGUUGCUGUUGUUGCCUCGGCGUGGGCGAGAGCUACCCUGGAGCUACCCUGUAGCCAUCCUGGAGCUCGCUGUAAGCCCCGCCGGAGGACCACUAAACUCUGGUUAAUAACUGCGUCUCUCUGAAUGCUUCAACUGAAAUCAGUUAAAACUUUUAGCAACGGAUCUCU